Paramuricea clavata is the source of this 2616-nucleotide non-coding RNA. The record is from the annotation of a GenBank genome assembly. NCBI's taxonomy places the organism in Eukaryota, Metazoa, Cnidaria, Anthozoa, Malacalcyonacea, Plexauridae.
CUCCACUAUUCCACAUUUGGAUAAUCCAAGCAGCUACUUCUCAGUGAAAAUAUCCAAGUCUUUCGACAGCUCUUCGAGUAAACUUUGAUCUUUCGGUGAUUUGAAGUCAUGAAGUUUUCACAAGUAUUCGUGGUUCUUUCUGUCUUGUUUGCCAUUUCUUUUGGUAUUCCUGCCAACUGGAAAGAAAAUGAAGACCUUAUGGCCAGGUAAACUGAGUCGCAAAAAAUAGUUUUAUAUCAUGCCUUUGCCUUUGGUUUUGGCGUCGCUUUAUCUGUUACUUUUUAGCUUUAGUAAUCGAGGCUCAGGGCGAACCAGGAAUCAUUUCCGCAACAGAAAUCACACUUUGCCUUUUGAGAAAAAGAUAUGUUUGUAAAUAAGUUGGGACGAAGCAUUGUUUCUUUAUACCAUAUAGUUUUCGAAGGUGGACAAGUCAGGGAACAUUGUUUCUUAUAUAGCCGUCAUGUUGCUCAACUAAAGUCGGCAUGCAUUCAAGCCAUGCAGCACCAAGUCGAUACUUUACAAAAAGUAACCGCUUAUUUUGUCAUCAAAAGGACAAAAACGUGGUAUUUUCAGUGGUUCAUCAAAACCAAGUAUAUAAUCACGGCUUUUUGUGCACUGCUUACAAUUCACUUUCUCUGUUUAACCGAGGAUUCUACUUUAGCUAUAUAGAUUGUCUAACUUUCCUUUCAUUGUUUUCAUCUAGCAAUGACAAUGCAGUUGAAGAAAAGAGACUCGUUCCUACUGAUUUGCUAGCAAAGAAGGCGUUGAGGGCAGCAGUAAGUGCUGCAUGCAAAUCGGGAAAGUGUAAGUCAGAGUUAUGAUAUAUCUUAUCAAAUGCUGUAGGGAUAUUAGUGGUAUAAAAAAGCAUCAGCUGCCGAUCUGUAUUUAAGUACUAUCUUAUCCUGGUAUUGACUCAUUGUAAUAUUUAACUUAACCAUUUUAACAUGGAGAGAUUUCUGCAUGGACGUUUCUUAAACUGAUUUUUGAUUUGUUUUGCCUUUCUAGUGCCUGACCAAAUGAAAGGCGUGUGCAACUGCGCUUCCUUGGUUGUAGGCCGCGAUGAAGGUAAAAACAUUUACUAUGUGUACUCAAAAUUUCACAAUGUGAACAAAGCUUAGUUAUGAUAUAAAUAGCUAUCAAUUCAAUGGUCAGUAUAAUGUGCGAAAAAAGAGCUAUCUCCUAAUUUUCACCUUGUGAUCAAGUUAAGUGUACAUGCAUGUGCACGUGGGAAUUAUGAUGAAUAUCAAUCCCUAGAAAAAUGUGCGAAAACAGUGAGAGCUACCACAAAAUGAAAUGUUAAAAUAUUUACACACUUAUUCAAGAAAUCUUGAGAGUUAAUGAAUUAGGAUAUAUAUAAUUACAAAGUUAUACAUGAAUAUAAACAAAUAUGAUUAAUAAAAUAAAAGAAAGAUAGGGGGAGGAUGGGUAAACAAAGAAAUGAGAGUUGAUGAGAGUUUUCCAGUCAUCUACUCGUCUCUCAUGAAAGUCUCGUUUGAAGUUGUCAAACAUUAACUCACUCUCAGCUCAAUUGCAACGAAUGAUCUAUAGUAUUUUGUGGAGAAACCUAGUGCGCGUGCAGCGAAAAAACCCACUUUUGUUUCUUUAAGUGCAUUCGCUUUGUCUUACCCCCUCCCCCAUUUUUUCCUGUAGAGUUCGAAGCCGAGAAACGCUGGUUCAUUAGUGACCCAGUGGAGAAAUUGAAAAGCGCCGUCAAAAAAAUCUGCGAUGGUCGUAAGUACAGCUGUCAUUUUGCUAUUGCUGAGGCAUCAUAUAUAAAAUCUCCUUUAUUCUUGUUCGUAUAAAGAACCAGUUUGCUUAUAUGUUCAAAUUUAUAUUUUUUGAAGGAUUUGCGAAUGCUUUAAAGGCACCAUGUAACUGUAUCCGCCUUUUUAUUUAAGAGAAGGUAAGGGAAACAUGCUGAUUUUAUAACUGCACGCAAAGACUAGACCAAACUAUAAUCUUUUCCCGAUGCGAAUCAUCAUGGGACCGUUUCUGCUUCUCAUGUUUAGUGUAGGUUCAUUUCACCGUGUUCAUACGGGUCUCCAGGACCCUGCGUCGCUGGGAGGGGUGGUGAUGUUGGGGAUGUGACACCCCCUGAAAACAUCUCGUCGGCAAAACGAAAGGAUUUGUCUGCAAAUUGUUUUCGUAGUCGGCAAAACAUGAAUUGGAUACGAUACGAUUGAAGUGGAAACUGGCUUUAGCCUCUUCGCGACAGCCCUGUAAGGGUGUCUCGAUUAAUCGACAAUAAGGAUGGAGGAGGUACAAUGGGUUGACUAAGGAUUUCGGUAAUCAUUAUGAGCCAGAUGGUUAUUGAUUGAUUAGUUAUGUGCAUCUUAACCAGUUACCGAUUCCAUCCCUAUCGGCGACAAUGGGCAAACUUAUAGUUAAGAAUAAUAACUGUAAUAAUCAUUGUAUAGCCCUAUAUUGUUAUGUGAAUGAAAUCGUAUUCAGCAAUGUUAGUAAAAACAAAAACUAUUUUCUAUAGGACAUGGGUUGAUGAACACAUACGAGUUAAAAGCAAAAGAUGAAAUUAGUUGAUUUAGAACAUGUAAUGUUAGAAAAUGAAUGAAUAAAAGUAUCAUACACUUCAUGCAGAAGGUCUAAUAAUUUGUCCAC